Molecule: ribosomal RNA, 499 nt
Filed under: uncultured Glomeromycotina
Lineage: Eukaryota; Fungi; Glomeromycota
Description: partial small subunit ribosomal RNA
Rfam family: Eukaryotic small subunit ribosomal RNA
Source: RNAcentral
CCAAUAGCGUAUAUUAAAGUUGUUGCAGUUAAAAAGCUCGUAGUUGAAUUUCGAGAUCAAAUUGUUGGUCGUGCCUUGGUACGCACUGGCAUUAUUGGUUUCUCCCUUCUGACGAACCAUGAUGUCAUUAAUUUGGUGUCUUGGGGAAUCAGGACUGUUACUUUGAAAAAAUUAGAGUGUUUAAAGCAGGCUCACGCUUGAAUACAUUAGCAUGGAAUAAUGAAAUAGGACGUUUGAUUCUAUUUUGUUGGUUUCUAGGAUCGACGUAAUGAUUAAUAGGGAUAGUUGGGGGCAUUAGUAUUCAAUUGUCAGAGGUGAAAUUCUUGGAUUUAUUGAAGACUAACUACUGCGAAAGCAUUUGCCAAGGAUGUUUUCAUUAAUCAAGAACGAAAGUUAGGGGAUCGAAGACGAUCAGAUACCGUCGUAGUCUUAACCAUAAACUAUGCCGACUAGGGAUCGGAUGAUGCUAAUUUUUUAAUGACUCAUUCGGCGCCUUACG